AUGCAGAGGAGUUGGAAAAGGUUAGCGAAGAAGCUGAUGCUGUUGAUUUCGACGGUACAAUGCCUGAAUGGUGGAGCUGUUGCUUUUGUUUGGAUUUGCGGUUUUGAUUCUGAUUCAGAAACUCUCUCUCUCUCUUGUUUUUCGUCUGUGGACUUACAAUUGUUUCAAUAUUGUUGGAAUUGUGUAUCAUGCGUUUUGGCUUUUGACAGGUCAUAUGAAAUUGAUGGAAUUUGUGUAACUUAUGUGAAGGUGAAGGAUAGAGUUAAAUAUGGUGGAAAGGUGAUGUUGUGA
Non-coding RNA from Vicia faba (fava bean), 291 nucleotides. Lineage: Eukaryota; Viridiplantae; Streptophyta; Magnoliopsida; Fabales; Fabaceae. The record is from the annotation of a GenBank genome assembly.